GGAACCAAGUAAAUUUUGGCUACAAAAACAGCCAGGAAAUUGUUCAUCAUAUUGUUGGAUAGUUUAACAUUAGCCAUCAAUCAAUAUCAGCAAUUAAAGAUGAAUCUGAAAGAAUUACCAGCACUAAAAAG
Long non-coding RNA from Telopea speciosissima, 131 nucleotides. RefSeq lists it as uncharacterized. The record is from RefSeq and is a predicted model, not a curated record. Lineage: Eukaryota; Viridiplantae; Streptophyta; Magnoliopsida; Proteales; Proteaceae. The transcript has 3 exons.